ACAGAGAGGACACAUUGAGCCCGUCAAAUUAAGUGCCAGCCGACGCGGUAAAACUUAAGGGCUAGUCUUUAUAAGUAAAAGGCGUAAAGGAUGUGUAAGCCAAGAAUUAUCCAAGAAGGUAAAUGGAAUUUUUCUGGAGCGGUAGAAUGUGAAGAUAGAAAAUAGAACUCCUAAGGUUAAAGCUAUUUACCACAAGGCCGGCUGAAACAUGAAAGUGUGGGGUGCAAACAGGAUUAGAGACCCUGGUAGUCUACACUGUGACCUUUGAAGAUGAGACAAUCUUCCACCUGAGUAGUACGAUCGCAAGAUUAAAGUUCAAGAAUUUUGGCUGUUCACUAUUUCGAUUAGAGGAGCGUGUAGUUUAAUUCGAUGGUCCGCGUGUUACCUCACCCCAAUUUGAAUCCGUGACCGGUAUUGCAUGGCCGUCGUAAAUCCGUGUGUUAAACUAGAAGGGGUCCAACCCGGGGUUCGGCCCGGAGGAAGUCAGGUCUUAUGGUCCGAAUGUUGGGGGAUUUAUGCGCUACAUUUUUUUAUAUAAUGAGAUACUUGAAAGGUGAAUCUCUAAAGUAAGAGUUCGGAGGGUCGCUGUAAGACGACUGGAAAGUUGUAUUUAAUAGUAAUCGGAAAGUAGGGCGUUCCGGUGA
This 644-nucleotide ribosomal RNA is filed under the name Tealidium konoplinorum. Its description in RNAcentral is "Tealidium sp. k ESB-2021 partial small subunit ribosomal RNA". It matches the Rfam family "Bacterial small subunit ribosomal RNA", at positions 472 to 1365 of the family's 1533-position model. The record is from RNAcentral. Lineage: Eukaryota; Metazoa; Cnidaria; Anthozoa; Actiniaria; Actinostolidae.